RNAcentral lists this ribosomal RNA (388 nucleotides) under uncultured bacterium. RNAcentral's name for it is "bacterial SSU rRNA". It matches the Rfam family "Bacterial small subunit ribosomal RNA", at positions 28 to 417 of the family's 1533-position model. The record is from RNAcentral.
GACGAACGCUGGCGGCGUGCUUAACACAUGCAAGUCGAGCGGUAAGGCCCUUUCGGGGGUACACGAGCGGCGAACGGGUGAGUAACACGUGGGUGACCUGCCCUCAGCUCUGGGAUAAGCCCGGGAAACUGGGUCUAAUACCGGAUAUGACUUCAUGACGCAUGUUGUGGAGUGGAAAGCCUUGUGCGGCUGAGGAUGGGCCCGCGGCCUAUCAGCUUGUUGGUGGGGUGAUGGCCUACCAAGGCGACGACGGGUAGCCGGCCUGAGAGGGCGACCGGCCACACUGGGACUGAGAUACGGCCCAGACUCCUACGGGAGGCAGCAGUGGGGAAUCUUGCGCAAUGGGCGAAAGCCCGACGCAGCGACGCCGCGUGAGGGAUGACGGCCU